This is a long non-coding RNA of Manis pentadactyla (Chinese pangolin), 782 nucleotides long. RefSeq lists it as uncharacterized. NCBI's taxonomy places the organism in Eukaryota, Metazoa, Chordata, Mammalia, Pholidota, Manidae. The transcript has 3 exons. The record is from RefSeq and is a predicted model, not a curated record.
CAGCACAAUUCACACAUAAAAAUAUGUAAUACUCUUUGCAUAAAGUUGAUAGAGAUGAUUUAUUCUCAUAGCAUGUUUUUGUUGACUUUUGCCAAACUCCUGUAUUUAUAGCUACAUGUGGCUCUUAUUAAGAAUGAGUACAGUUCUGACGUGAAUGCUGGUUGAUAUUUUCAUUUACAAGAAAGACAGUGCUGUGGACUGACAUGUGUCCCCACCAGGUUCAAAAGUUGAAGUGAAGAUAUCCCCCGAAUGGCUGAAGUCCUACUCCUCCAUGUGACGACGGUGUGAGGAGAUGGAACCUUUGAAAGACUUCAGCUUCCAGAACUCUGAGAAAAACAUGUCUGCUGUUUAAGCCACCAGUCUGUGGUAUUUCGUUACUGCACCCUGAGCAGACAAAGACAAAGCCCUUUUCUUCCAUGUGACUGUGUUUGGAGACAGGGACUACAAGGAGAGAUCAUGUGAGUGUAUAGCAAGACAGAGGCUGCCUACAAACCAGGGAAAGAGGACUCAGAAUGAAACCAGCUAGUUGAUCUUGGACUUCCCGGCAUCCAGACCUUGAGAAAUAAUUUUCUGUUGUUAAAACCACCCAGUCUAUGACAUUUUGUUUGGCAGCCUUAGAUGACUAAUACAGACAGGAAAGAUCAAAGUCAAACAAUUCAUAGCUAUAUGGGAACUUCCCUCUUUCUGCAAAGACUGACUUUGCUGAAUCAAAGUUGUUGAACACUAGAAUGAUUUUCCUCAUUCCUGUGCUACUUAUCAUGUAACAUCUUUAGACAUGACAC